RNAcentral lists this transfer RNA (87 nucleotides) under Otolemur garnettii (small-eared galago). It matches the Rfam family "tRNA". Rfam says of the family: Transfer RNA (tRNA) molecules are approximately 80 nucleotides in length. Lineage: Eukaryota; Metazoa; Chordata; Mammalia; Primates; Galagidae. The record is from Rfam by way of RNAcentral.
GCUCCAGUGGCACAAUGGGUUAGCGUGUGGUACUGAUAUGACAAUAUAGUGAUGCCAAGGUUGUGAGUUCAAGUCUCACCUGGAGCA